Molecule: transfer RNA, 49 nt
Filed under: Neuracanthus umbraticus
Lineage: Eukaryota; Viridiplantae; Streptophyta; Magnoliopsida; Lamiales; Acanthaceae
Description: partial tRNA-His
Source: RNAcentral
AUGUAGCCAAGUGGAUCAAGGCAGUGGAUUGNGAAUCCACCAUGCGCGA